RNAcentral lists this ribosomal RNA (271 nucleotides) under uncultured prokaryote. RNAcentral's name for it is "partial 16S ribosomal RNA". It matches the Rfam family "Bacterial small subunit ribosomal RNA", at positions 524 to 794 of the family's 1533-position model. The record is from RNAcentral.
UACGGAGGGUGCGAGCGUUAAUCGGAAUUACUGGGCGUAAAGCGCGCGUAGGCGGUCUGAUCAGCCGGUUGUGAAAGCCCCGGGCUCAACCUGGGAACGGCAUCCGGAACUGUCAGGCUAGAGUGCAGGAGAGGAAGGUAGAAUUCCCGGUGUAGCGGUGAAAUGCGUAGAGAUCGGGAGGAAUACCAGUGGCGAAGGCGGCCUUCUGGACUGAUACUGACGCUGAGGUGCGAAAGCGUGGGUAGCAAACAGGAUUAGAUACCCCGUUAGU